CCUACGGGUGGCAGCAGUGAGGAAUAUUGGUCAAUGGGCGAGAGCCUGAACCAGCCAAGUCGCGUGAGGGAGUACUGCCCUAUGGGUUGUAAACCUCUUUUGUCGGGGAGCAAAAGCCGGACGUGUCCGGCUGUGAGAGUACCCGAAGAAAAAGCAUCGGCUAACUCCGUGCCAGCAGCCGCGGUAAUACGGGGGAUGCGAGCGUUAUCCGGAUUUAUUGGGUUUAAAGGGUGCGCAGGCGGAUUUUUAAGUCAGCGGUAAAAUCGUGGGGAUCAACCCCAUCCAGCCGUUGAAACUGGGGAUCUAGAGUGUGCGAGAGGUAUGCGGAAUGCGUGGUGUAGCGGUGAAAUGCAUAGAUAUCACGCAGAACCCCGAUUGCGAAGGCAGCAUACCGGUGCACAACUGACGCUCAGGCACGAAAGCGUGGGUAUCGAACAGGAUUAGAUACCCGAGUAGUC
This 458-nucleotide ribosomal RNA is filed under the name uncultured bacterium. Its description in RNAcentral is "partial 16S ribosomal RNA". It matches the Rfam family "Bacterial small subunit ribosomal RNA", at positions 338 to 795 of the family's 1533-position model. The record is from RNAcentral.